Molecule: ribosomal RNA, 444 nt
Filed under: uncultured Leptolinea sp.
Lineage: Bacteria; Bacillati; Chloroflexota; Anaerolineae; Anaerolineales; Anaerolineaceae
Description: bacterial SSU rRNA
Rfam family: Bacterial small subunit ribosomal RNA
Source: RNAcentral
ACAAGCAGCGGAGCGUGUGGUUUAAUUCGAUGCUACACGAAGAACCUUACCAGGGUUUGACAUGCAAGUGGUAGGAAACCGAAAGGCGACCGACCCUUCGGGGAGCUUGCACAGGUGCUGCAUGGCUGUCGUCAGCUCGUGUCGUGAGAUGUUCGGUUAAGUCCGCUAACGAGCGCAACCCUCGCUGUGUGUUACAAGUGUCACACGGUACUGCCGGUCUUAAGCCGGAGGAAGGUGGGGAUGACGUCAAGUCAGCAUGGCCUUUAUAUCCAGGGCUACACACACGCUACAAUGGUCUGUACAAUGGGUAGCCAAGCCGCGAGGCGGAGCCAAUCCUGAAAGCAGGCCUCAGUUCAGAUUGCAGUCUGCAACUCGACUGCAUGAAGCCGGAGUUGCUAGUAACCGCAGGUCAGCAAUACUGCGGUGAAUACGUUCCCGGGUCUU